UCUCUGUUUGUAUAGUGGCUAGUACGUCAGCCUGUCACGCUGGAGACCCGGGUUCAAUUCCCGGACAGAGAG
Molecule: transfer RNA, 72 nt
Filed under: Coemansia sp. 'formosensis'
Lineage: Eukaryota; Fungi; Kickxellomycota; Kickxellomycetes; Kickxellales; Kickxellaceae
Also listed under: 29 other names
Description: tRNA-Asp
Rfam family: tRNA
About the family: Transfer RNA (tRNA) molecules are approximately 80 nucleotides in length.
Source: RNAcentral